This 804-nucleotide ribosomal RNA is filed under the name uncultured bacterium. RNAcentral's name for it is "bacterial SSU rRNA". It matches the Rfam family "Bacterial small subunit ribosomal RNA", at positions 26 to 835 of the family's 1533-position model. The record is from RNAcentral.
GGAGAAAAGUGGCGUGCUAUACAUGCAGUCGAACGAGAGUACUUGUACUCUAGUGGCGAACGGGUGAGUAACACGUCAGGUACUUGCCCCAAAGACGAGGAUAACCACGGGAAACUGUGGCUAAUACUGGAUAGGAUAUAGAUUCGCAUGAACCUAUAUUUAAAGACGCGUUUGCGUCACUUUGGGAGAGCCUUGCGCAGCAUUAGCUAGUUGGUAGGGUAAUGGCCUACCAAGGCAACGAUGCUUAGCUGGACUGAGAGGUUGAACAGCCACACUGGGACUGAGACACGGCCCAGACUCCUAUGGGAGGCAGCAGUAGGGAAUUUUCGGCAAUGGGCGAAAGCCUGACCGAGCAAUGCCGCGUGAACGAUGAAGGCCUUCGGGUCGUAAAGUUCUGUUGUUAAGGAAGAACAGUCAGAAGAGGAAAUGCUUUUGAUUUGACGGUACUUAACCAGAAAGCUCCGGCUAACUACGUGCCAGCAGCCGCGGUAAUACGUAGGGAGCGAGCGUUAUCCGGAAUUAUUGGGCGUAAAGCGUGCGUAGGCGGCGUGUUAAGUCGAAUGUGAAAGCCCACAACUUAACUGUGGAGGGUCAUUCGAAACUGGCAUGCUAGAGUACGGCAGAGGUUAGUGGAAUUCAAUGUGUAGCGGUAAAAUGCGUAGAUAUAUUGAGGAACACCGAUGGCGAAGGCAGCCAACUGGACCGGAACUGACGCUGAGGCACGAAAGCGUGGGGAGCAAACAGGAUUAGAUACCCUGGUAGUCCACGCCGUAAACGUUGAGAACUAAGUGUUGGGGUGACUCA